RNAcentral lists this ribosomal RNA (290 nucleotides) under uncultured bacterium. Its description in RNAcentral is "partial 16S ribosomal RNA". It matches the Rfam family "Bacterial small subunit ribosomal RNA", at positions 335 to 622 of the family's 1533-position model. The record is from RNAcentral.
GUCCUACGGGACGCAUCAGUGAUUACUCUUGGUCCCUGUGCUUUAGCCUGAACCAGCCAAGUCGCGUGAGGGAAGACGGUCCUAUGGAUUGUAAACCUCUUUUGUCGGGGAGCAAAGAGAUCACGUGUGGUCAAAAGCGAGAGUACCCGAAGAAAAAGCAUCGGCUAACUCCGUGCCAGCAGCCGCGGUAAUACGGAGGAUGCGAGCGUUAUCCGGAUUUAUUGGGUUUAAAGGGUGCGUAGGCGGGACGGUAAGUCAGCGGUAAAAAUGCGGAGCUCAACUCCGUCGAG